This 494-nucleotide ribosomal RNA is filed under the name uncultured bacterium. Its description in RNAcentral is "partial 16S ribosomal RNA". It matches the Rfam family "Bacterial small subunit ribosomal RNA", at positions 28 to 507 of the family's 1533-position model. The record is from RNAcentral.
GACGAACGCUGGCGGCGUGCUUAACACAUGCAAGUCGAACGGAAAGGCCUGCUUUCCCUUGUGGGUUGCGGGUACUCGAGUGGCGAACGGGUGAGUAACACGUGAGUGAUCUGCCCCCAACUUGGGUAUAAGCCUGGGAAACUGGGUCUAAUUCCCGAUAGGACUGCAGGGUGGUGCCUGUGGUGGAAAACGAUUUUCUAGUGGUUGGGGAUGAGCUCGCGGCCUAUCAGCUUGUUGGUGGGGUAAUGGCCUACCAAGGCGGCGACGGGUAGCCGGCCGGGGAGGGUGGACGGCCACAUUGGGACUGAGAUACGGCCCAGACUCCUACGGGAGGCAGCAGUGGGGAAUACUGCACAAUGGGCGGAAGCCUGAUGCAGCGACGCCGCGUGGGGGAUGACGGCCUUCGGGUUGUAAACUCCUUUCGACCGCGAGGAAGCCACCUGGUUGGAAGGGUGGUGACGGUAGUGGUAGAAGAAGCACCGGCUAACUACGUG